AAGUCGUAACAAGGUUUCCGUAGGUGAACCUGCGGAAGGAUCAUUAUCGGGAUUGCCCUCGUGGCUUAACCUGCAACCCAAUGUUUUAACAACCCUUGUUUCUUUGGCGGGUUCGCCCGUCAGAAGAAUUCUCAAACUCAUUAUAAACGUGUCUUCUGAAUAACUAUAAAAUAAAAUUAAAA
RNAcentral lists this unclassified non-coding RNA (182 nucleotides) under plant metagenome. RNAcentral describes it as "partial contains small subunit ribosomal RNA and internal transcribed spacer 1". The stretch from base 1 to 46 matches the Rfam family "Eukaryotic small subunit ribosomal RNA", at positions 1786 to 1831 of the family's 1831-position model. The record is from RNAcentral.